CCUACGGGCGGCUGCAGUGGGGAAUAUUGCACAAUGGGCGCAAGCCUGAUGCAGCCAUGCCGCGUGUGUGAAGAAGGCCUUCGGGUUGUAAAGCACUUUCAGCGGGGAGGAAGGCGUUAAGGUUAAUAACCUUGGCGAUUGACGUUACCCGCAGAAGAAGCACCGGCUAACUCCGUGCCAGCAGCCGCGGUAAUACGGAGGGUGCAAGCGUUAAUCGGAAUUACUGGGCGUAAAGCGCACGCAGGCGGUCUGUCAAGUCGGAUGUGAAAUCCCCGGGCUCAACCUGGGAACUGCAUUCGAAACUGGCAGGCUAGAGUCUUGUAGAGGGGGGUAGAAUUCCAGGUGUAGCGGUGAAAUGCGUAGAGAUCUGGAGGAAUACCAGUGGCGAAGGCGGCCCCCUGGACAAAGACUGACGCUCAGGUGCGAAAGCGUGGGGAGCAAACAGGAGUAGAUACCCUAGUAGUC
RNAcentral lists this ribosomal RNA (465 nucleotides) under uncultured Klebsiella sp. RNAcentral describes it as "bacterial SSU rRNA". It matches the Rfam family "Bacterial small subunit ribosomal RNA", at positions 338 to 795 of the family's 1533-position model. Lineage: Bacteria; Pseudomonadati; Pseudomonadota; Gammaproteobacteria; Enterobacterales; Enterobacteriaceae. The record is from RNAcentral.